Misgurnus anguillicaudatus (oriental weatherfish) is the source of this 471-nucleotide non-coding RNA. The record is from the annotation of a RefSeq genome assembly. NCBI's taxonomy places the organism in Eukaryota, Metazoa, Chordata, Actinopteri, Cypriniformes, Cobitidae.
UUGCAUAUCAGAUGAGAUGUUUCAGAUCUCUGAGAGUUUAUAGUGCUGUGAGUUUAACACUUCAUAACUCAACACAACACACAAAACUAAACAUCAACAAUGACCUUCACCAUCAUCUUCAUCUGGACACUUUUAUUCUCGUUACAAGGUUGUAAAUCGCAGUACACAGUAACUCAAAGUCCUUCAGUGAAAACUGCAGCAUCUGGAGACUCUGUUACUCUGAGAUGUUCUCUAUCACGUCCUACUUCAAGUUGUAGUCCAGCCUGUGUGUCCUGGUACUUACAGAAACCUGGAGAAGCUCCUAAACUCCUGAUAUAUUAUGCAAACACCCUUCAGUCUGGAAUUUCAUCAAGAUUCAGUGGCAGUGGAUCAAACACAGAUUUGACUCUGAGCAUCAGUGAAGUUCAGACUGAAGAUGCAGGAGAUUAUUACUGUAUGAGUGUUCACAGUGGUCCAGUGUUCACACAGUGA